GUUGAACGCUGGCGGCGGGCCUAAUACAUGCAAGUCGAGCGGACAGACGAAGAUCGCUCUUGGCUUCCGUUGCCGAUGGACGGGUGAUGACUACGUGGAUGACCUGCCUAUGGGGCUAGCAUAAGUUCAGGGAACCUAAUCUAACACCCGUUAUGAGGGAGAAAGUCGGGGAUCUACAGUGCAAGACCUUCUUGCUGUCACUUAGAGGGGUAUCCUCGUCGCAUUAGCUAGUUGGUAAGGUAACGCCUUACCAAGGCAACGAUGCGUAGCCGACCUGAGAGGGUGAUCAGCCACACUGGAACUGAGACACGGUCCAGACUCCUACGGGAGGCAGCAGUAGGGAAUAUUCCGCAAUGGGCGAAAGCCUGACGGAGCCAUGCCGCGUGAGUGAAGAAGGUCUUCGGAUCGUAAAACUCUGUUAGUAGGGAAGAACAAAUGUGUAAGUAACUAUGCACGUCUUGACGUUACCUAAUCAGAAAGCAACGGCUAACUACGUG
This 497-nucleotide ribosomal RNA is filed under the name uncultured bacterium. Its description in RNAcentral is "partial 16S ribosomal RNA". It matches the Rfam family "Bacterial small subunit ribosomal RNA", at positions 28 to 507 of the family's 1533-position model. The record is from RNAcentral.